GUGGGUGUGUGGGUGUGUGGGUGGCAAGGGGUGCGCUCCUUCCUCCUCCCACUCUAUCUCUUUCCCCUCCCCUUCCCCCGCCCUUCGGUGUGUAAGAACUAGCGAGCAAGAUUUGGCUUGCGGUGGUGGUGGUGGGGGCCCGGCGCGCCUGCGCAGGAAACAGCUGUCACCCUUUGCGGAACAACAAGUCAUACAAACCUCCCCCCUCCCCCCUGAGCCGGUAGGCGACCUUCCUCACUCCUCUUCCUUCUCCUCCUCGGGGGUCCCGGCCCCUCCCCCACCUCUCCCGCCGUGCCCGCGCGCCCAGUUUCAUCGGUGCAUACUUUUACAUUCCACUGGUGGUGUUGUAUGGCUUCAAGACAUGGAACACAACAGUCUCCGAAGAACUGGAAGUGAAUAUCACACAAAGGGCAAUGGAGAGGUGCAUGGUGGGUGUGAACAGGCUGCAACAUAUAACAAAUGGGGAACUUUGAAGAAGACCAGAAAUAAAAGGUUUCAUCAUGAAAUGUAUGGUAGAAAAAGAUGGGCUGGUCAUGUGUUGAGAGGAAGGUAUGAAAGGUAGACAGC
This 567-nucleotide long non-coding RNA is filed under the name Vombatus ursinus (common wombat). RNAcentral's name for it is "lncRNA (ENSVURG00010005655.1)". The record is from RNAcentral. Lineage: Eukaryota; Metazoa; Chordata; Mammalia; Diprotodontia; Vombatidae.